This 253-nucleotide ribosomal RNA is filed under the name uncultured bacterium. RNAcentral describes it as "partial 16S ribosomal RNA". It matches the Rfam family "Bacterial small subunit ribosomal RNA", at positions 524 to 776 of the family's 1533-position model. The record is from RNAcentral.
UACGUAGGGUGCAGGCGUUAAUCGGAAUUACUGGGCGUAAAGCGUGCGCAGGCGGUUUGUUAAGUCAGAUGUGAAAUCCCCGGGCUUAACCUGGGAACUGCGUUUGAAACUACAAGGCUAGAGUGUAGCAGAGGGGGGUGGAAUUCCACGUGUAGCAGUGAAAUGCGUAGAGAUGUGGAGGAACACCGAUGGCGAAGGCAGCCCCCUGGGUUAACACUGACGCUCAGGCACGAAAGCGUGGGGAGCAAACAGG